GGAUGCGAUCAUACCAGCACUAAAGCACCGGAUCCCAUCAGAACUCCGAAGUUAAGUGUGCUUGGGCGAGAGUAGUACUAGGAUGGGUGACCUCUUGGGAUGUCCUCGUGUUGCAUUCC
This 119-nucleotide ribosomal RNA is filed under the name Aegilops tauschii subsp. strangulata. Lineage: Eukaryota; Viridiplantae; Streptophyta; Magnoliopsida; Poales; Poaceae. The record is from RNAcentral.